CAACAUAUCUGGGAUCCCCUUUUUAUAGGCCGGAAAAGCAACGGGUUGAGAGCGAUUGUUUGUAACCAUCUCAUCGUGGGCCGCACGGGGCCAGGGAGAAUUUAUCAUGAGGAGUAAUGGGUGGAGUCGUGGCUGUUACCAUGGCUCACCACGUGGAAUCAGUUGCGGGGAGUGGAGCGGCGUUCGUUGUCGUGACUUGCCAGGG
Molecule: long non-coding RNA, 205 nt
Filed under: Elaeis guineensis (African oil palm)
Lineage: Eukaryota; Viridiplantae; Streptophyta; Magnoliopsida; Arecales; Arecaceae
Description: long non-coding RNA (EGUI_LNC072147)
Source: RNAcentral